AUAAAGUUUUAUUUUAGCUUAAAAAAUUUAUAUUUAUAUUAUUUUACAUAAAAAUUUUUGUACUUAUAAUAGUAAUUUUUAAAAAAUUAUUUUAUUUAAUUUUUAAUAUUAGUAAUUAAUAUUAAUAAUUUUAAAAGAAAUUUUUAAUUAGUGGUUUAUUUAUUAUUAGUUAAAAUUGUGCCAGCAUCUGCGGUUAUACAAUUAAUAUAAAUAAAUUUUAUCAAUUAAAGUUAUGAUAGUAGAUUAAAAACAGUAAUUUUUAUUUAAUUUUAUAAAGUUAAAUUUUAUAUUUAUAAUAAGUUAUAAAUAUUUUUAAUAAAAAAUUAUCUAAGCCUUAAGAAUUUUUAUAUUAAACUAGGAUUAGAUACCCUAUUAUAAAAAGUUAAUUAAAUUAAUUAUAUUAGUAUUAGAUAUGUAUUCUUGAAAAUUAAUAAAUUUGGCGGUAUUUUAUUCUAUUCAGAGGAAUUUGUUUUAUAAUUGAUAAUACUCAUUAUACCUUACUUAAUUUAUUAAAAUUUGUAUAUCGUCGUCGUAUUGAAUAUCUUAUAAGAGAAAAAAAAAUAUUCAUUAAUUUAAAUAAUAAAAUUUAUGUCAGAUCAAGGUGCAGUUUAUAAUUAAGAAAAAAUGAAUUACAAUAAAUCUAUUUAUAAUGAAUAAUUAAUUUAAAUAAUAUUUUGAAGGAGGAUUUGUUAGUAAAUUUAUUUUAAAUAUAAAAAUAAAUUAAAUAUAGUUUUAAAAUAUGCACAUAUUGCCCGUCGCUCUUAUAUUAAAGAUAGGAUAAGUCGUAACAUAGUAAAAGUACUGGAAAGUGUUUUUAGAUUAAA
This 824-nucleotide non-coding RNA is filed under the name Bradysia impatiens. Lineage: Eukaryota; Metazoa; Arthropoda; Insecta; Diptera; Sciaridae. The record is from RNAcentral.